GCUUACUGCCACCCUCCCUGAGCACAGCCCGAUCUCGUCUGAUCUCGGAAGCUAAGCAGGGUCGGGCCCGGUUAGUAAUUGGAUGGGGAACCGCCUGGGAAUACCAGGUGCUGUAAGCC
Molecule: ribosomal RNA, 119 nt
Filed under: Esox lucius (northern pike)
Lineage: Eukaryota; Metazoa; Chordata; Actinopteri; Esociformes; Esocidae
Source: RNAcentral